This 649-nucleotide long non-coding RNA is filed under the name Heterocephalus glaber (naked mole-rat). RNAcentral describes it as "lncRNA (ENSHGLG00100036771.1)". Lineage: Eukaryota; Metazoa; Chordata; Mammalia; Rodentia; Bathyergidae. The record is from RNAcentral.
CACAAAGCUAACAACAGUUGCAGAGAAUAAGAAUGAAUACCGUGAUGUUUCAAUUUUUGCCUCUUCUCACUCUUUCCCCAUCCACAGAUGCCGUUGUCUUUACCCUUCGGUGCAGUCUUAGUUUCCCUGGGUCAUCUUUGAAGGAUAUGUGGGUAAAGUGCUUCCUUCUUGCUUGGAAUGUAGGCCGCUAUUCUCCCAAGAGCUCUCAAUAGUUUGCAAUCCAGAGGAAGCCCUUGAGUUAGAGCUUACAGAUUGCCCAGUUGCCAGAAAUGUGAUGAAUCUUUUUGGUUUUGGCCAACACAUUGCUUUCACGAGUUCCACUGCACGUGGUUAUAAACCCUGUGGAUUUCUGAGCUAAUAUAUGAGAUCGAGAAAUAAGAACAUUCCAUGAAAAAGAACAACUCGAGAUUUAUGAACGCCAAACUAGCAUUCUAGAAAAUACUCAAGAAUAUCCUAAACAGAGACGACAAAGCCAACAAUCCAGGUGGAAUGAAUACAUCAAGCAAGUUGAAUAGAUAAAAAAUGAAAAGAAAAGAAAAAGGAAUCAUCAACAGAAAAAGAAUGGCACUUCUCAGUAAUAACUCUCAAUGAUAAUGGGUUCAAUUCCCCAAUCAAAAAACACAUAUUGACAGAUUGGAUUAAAAAAAAC